RNAcentral lists this long non-coding RNA (678 nucleotides) under Dasypus novemcinctus (nine-banded armadillo). Its description in RNAcentral is "lncRNA (ENSDNOG00000052937.1)". The record is from RNAcentral. Lineage: Eukaryota; Metazoa; Chordata; Mammalia; Cingulata; Dasypodidae.
AUGUUGGAGAUGCUCGCCAGAACUGUAGUUCAACUUCAUGUAAGCUGUUGGUUGGAAUCCAGUAGACAAGGCAGGAUUUAUUUGUGGAAUUCCUGGCGGCGAGGGAAGCACAUGAAGGUCCUGGCAUCAAGAACCCAAACAAAUAGCAUGCUGGAAUGUAUUUAACAGGUGAUAAUGCAGAACACUGAAAAAUAGAUUGAGGGCAAUUAAAGAGAAAAAAGAGUGCUGUUUUGGCUUGGCAGGGAUGGAAAACUAAGCUCAAGGGGGCAGAUUAUUUAGGGAAAGUGUGUGGAAUUUUUCUCCGUAAAUCAUAGGUCACUCAGGGUCUCAAGUAACUUGUAUGAGGUAGCUACACACAAAUACAGCAUUUCUUGAGGAAGGAAAGAGAAGACAUGAAAAUGCCAUGCCAAGGGCAGCCCUCGUGUUUAAUACGUUAAAAACAGCAAGACAGAAAUCACAUUAUCAUUUAAAAAAUUGCUUGUCCCUCCACUUCCGGGAAUUGUCCUUGACCGAAGCUGAUGUGAUUUAUGCAAGAGAAUAAUUUUGGAAGGAAAAGUGAACUGAACUCAGCUGCUGGGCUGACCCAAUCCACUGCUCAAGAGGGCAAUUUCAUUAAGCCCUUUUUACCUCCAUUGCCUCACCUAUGAAAUGGGUUUAAUAAUAGGUCUUUCCAUCUGG